GAGCGAUGCAGCCUGAACUGACAGCAAAUUUAAAUUACUGAGCCUGCUUUUUUUUCCUCCUUCCUUUUUUUUUUUAUUAUUAUUAUUUUUUCUACUCUGCGACAAACUGAAAAGAUUCUAGCACACGUUAAUUUAACCACCCUGCUUCUUUUUCUAUUUUUUUCCUCCCUUCUGCUUCCAGGAUAAUUAAAAGAGAAACCUGUAAAGGCAACAUUCCUUCAAGCGAGUUGGUGCCGCAACGUGCUGGUCUGCGGAUUUAAAGAUCUAAAGGCAUUAGCCAAUUGAUCAGAUAUUCAGCUGUUUGCAAUUGAAUAACAAGGACUAGGUAA
Chelonoidis abingdonii (Abingdon island giant tortoise) is the source of this 329-nucleotide non-coding RNA. NCBI's taxonomy places the organism in Eukaryota, Metazoa, Chordata, Testudines, Testudinidae. The record is from RefSeq and is a predicted model, not a curated record.